CUACGGGUCGCUGCAGUGGGGAAUAUUGCACAAUGGGGGAAACCCUGAUGCAGCAACGCCGCGUGGAGGAUGACACAUUUCGGUGCGUAAACUCCUUUUAUAGGUCAAGAUAAUGACGGUAGCCUAUGAAUAAGCGCCGGCUAACUCCGUGCCAGCAGCCGCGGUAAUAAGGAGGGCGCAAGCGUUACUCGGAAUCACUGGGCGUAAAGAGCAUGUAGGCGGGUUAAUAAGUCAGAAGUGAAAUCCAAUAGCUCAACUAUUGAACUGCUUUUGAAACUGUUAACCUAGAGUGUGGGAGAGGUAGAUGGAAUUUCUGGUGUAGGGGUAAAAUCCGUAGAGAUCAGAAGGAAUACCGAUUGCGAAGGCGAUCUACUGGAACAUUACUGACGCUGAGAUGCGAAAGCGUGGGGAGCAAACAGGAUUAGAUACCCUAGUAGUC
This 439-nucleotide ribosomal RNA is filed under the name uncultured bacterium. RNAcentral describes it as "partial 16S ribosomal RNA". It matches the Rfam family "Bacterial small subunit ribosomal RNA", at positions 339 to 795 of the family's 1533-position model. The record is from RNAcentral.